AAAGUCUUAAGACAAUAAAAGUGUAAUAAAAAAAAAAAAAAUCUGUUCUUAUCAGUUAAUAUCUGAUACGUCCCCUAUCCGGGGACCAUAUAUUAAAUUGAUUUUUGGAACAGGGAGAUGGAAUAGGGGCUUGCUCCGUCCACUCCACGCAUCGACCUGGUAUUGCAGUACCUCCAGGAACGGUGCACCCCCC
Molecule: small nuclear RNA, 193 nt
Organism: Syngnathoides biaculeatus (alligator pipefish)
Lineage: Eukaryota; Metazoa; Chordata; Actinopteri; Syngnathiformes; Syngnathidae
Product: U2 spliceosomal RNA
Exons: 1
Source: RefSeq, a predicted model, not a curated record